AAACUCCUACGGGAGGCAGCAGUAGGGAAUUUUCGUCAAUGGGGGGAACCCUGAACGAGCAAUGCCGCGUGAGUGAAGAAGGUCUUCGGAUCGUAAAGCUCUGUUGUAAGAGAAAAACGGACUCCAUAGGGAAUGAUGGAGGAGUGAUGGUAUCUUACCAGAAAGCCACGGCUAACUACGUGCCAGCAGCCGCGGUAAUACGUAGGUGGCGAGCGUUAUCCGGAAUCAUUGGGCGUAAAGGGUGCGUAGGUGGCACGAUAAGUCUGUAGUAAAAGGCAGCGGCUCAACCGCUGUUGGCUAUGGAAACUGUCGAGCUGGAGUGCAGAAGAGGGCGAUGGAAUUCCAUGUGUAGCGGUAAAAUGCGUAGAUAUAUGGAGGAACACCAGUGGCGAAGGCGGCCGCCUGGUCUGCAACUGACACUGAAGCACGAAAGCGUGGGGAGCAAAUAGGAUUAGAUACCCUAGUAGUCCACGCCGUAAACGAUGAGAACUAAGUGUUGGGGAAACUCAGUGCUGCAGUUAACGCAAUAAGUUCUCCGCCUGGGGAGUAUGCACGCAAGUGUGAAACUCAAAGGAAUUGACGGGGGCCCGCACAAGCGGUGGAGUAUGUGGUUUAAUUCGAAGCAACGCGAAGAACCUUACCAGGCCUUGACAUGGAGAUAAAGGCCCUGGAGACAGGGAGAUAGAUAUAUCUCACACAGGUGGUGCAUGGUUGUCGUCAGCUCGUGUCGUGAGAUGUUGGGUUAAGUCCCGCAACGAGCGCAACCCUUGUUUCAUGUUACCAAUAUUGAGUUAGGGACUCAUGAGAGACUGCCGGUGACAAACCGGAGGAAGGUGGGGAUGACGUCAAAUCAUCAUGCCCCUUAUGACCUGGGCUACACACGUACUACAAUGGCGGUUACAAAGG
Molecule: ribosomal RNA, 906 nt
Filed under: human gut metagenome
Description: bacterial SSU rRNA
Rfam family: Bacterial small subunit ribosomal RNA
Source: RNAcentral